GUUUUCUGCAGAGUUGUGCCGGGUCGCCUCCCUCGCGCAAUGGAUUAUCCAUCUAGCGGAGCCAGCCUAAGCGUUGGGCACAUUUCCCUGAGGAUACAGGGGACCCAGAGAAGAGGCGGUUAGAAGGACCAGUGGGGAGUAAUUAAGUUUAGCUGAGGGUAUGGGGCGGUCUUCUCUACGUCUGGGCGGUCC
RNAcentral lists this long non-coding RNA (192 nucleotides) under Peromyscus maniculatus bairdii (prairie deer mouse). RNAcentral's name for it is "Vax2os1 conserved region 3 (ENSPEMG00000002852.2)". It matches the Rfam family "Vax2os1 conserved region 3". The record is from RNAcentral. Lineage: Eukaryota; Metazoa; Chordata; Mammalia; Rodentia; Cricetidae.